GGGUUGUGAGGUUAAGCGACUAAGCGUACACGGUGGAUGCCCAGGCAGUCAGAGGCGAUGAAGGACGUGCUAAUCUGCGUAAAGCGACGGUAAGGUGAUAUGAACCGCUACAGCCGUCGAUGUCCGAAUGGGGAAACCCGGUGCACUCUGUGCAUCAUUGCAGCAUGAAUACAUAGUGCUGCAAGGCGAACCGGGGGAACUGAAACAUCUAAGUACCCCGAGGAAAAGAAAUCAACCGAGAUUCCCCCAGUAGCGGCGAGCGAACGGGGAGCAGCCCAGAGCCUGAACCAGUUUGUGUGUUAGUGGAAGCGUCUGGAAAGUCGCAGGGUACAGGGUGAUACUCCCGUACACAAAAGCACACAAGCUGUGAGCUC
This 374-nucleotide ribosomal RNA is filed under the name Pantoea agglomerans Eh318. RNAcentral describes it as "bacterial LSU rRNA". It matches the Rfam family "Bacterial large subunit ribosomal RNA", at positions 1 to 409 of the family's 2925-position model. The record is from RNAcentral. Lineage: Bacteria; Pseudomonadati; Pseudomonadota; Gammaproteobacteria; Enterobacterales; Erwiniaceae.